Long non-coding RNA from Temnothorax curvispinosus, 310 nucleotides. RefSeq lists it as uncharacterized. The record is from RefSeq and is a predicted model, not a curated record. The transcript is spliced from 3 exons. Lineage: Eukaryota; Metazoa; Arthropoda; Insecta; Hymenoptera; Formicidae.
AAUUAAGUUGCAGCGAUGAAGUUAGUAUACGUAUUCUUAUUAGUUGCUGUUGUUGCAGUUACCAUGAGCCCUGGCAUCAUGGCUGAAUCAUCUGCUGAUGAAUUUGGAAAAGCUAAGAAAAUCGGCAUCUUUGAUCAAAUAGAUAAGGGAUGGGCUUGGUUGAUGAAGCAGAUGGAAGGCUAAAUACACUAUAAUCGAAUAAUAUCUAUGGCAUAAAAAAUGCAGCAGAAAAUCGGCAUUUUUUUCAUGAAAUAUCCAAGGCAUUUAAUUAGGCGCUAAAAUAAAUUUCACAAGUUUUUCAACUAGUAAA